UCCCUGGUAGCUCAGUGGUAAAGAACCAGCCUUCAAAGCAGGGGAUGCAGGUUUGAUCCCUGGUCCAGGAA
This 71-nucleotide transfer RNA is filed under the name Bos taurus (domestic cattle). It matches the Rfam family "tRNA". Rfam says of the family: Transfer RNA (tRNA) molecules are approximately 80 nucleotides in length. Their secondary structure includes four short double-helical elements and three loops (D, anti-codon, and T loops). RNAcentral also lists the same sequence under 5 other names. Lineage: Eukaryota; Metazoa; Chordata; Mammalia; Artiodactyla; Bovidae. The record is from Rfam by way of RNAcentral.